AACGAACGCUGGCGGCAGGCCUAACACAUGCAAGUCGAACGCUGUAGCAAUACAGAGUGGCGGACGGGUGCGUAACGCGUAUGCAACAUGCCUUCCAGCGGGGGAUAUACCAGGGAAACUUGGCGCAAUACCCCAUAGAAUUACGGGACCGCAUGGUCUUGUGAUUAAAACUCCGGUGCUGGGAGAUUGGCAUGCGUGACAUUAGCUAGUUGGCGGGGUAACGGCCCACCAAGGCGACGAUGUCUAGCUGGUCUGAGAGGAUGAUCAGCCACACUGGGACUGAGACACGGCCCAGACUCCUACGGGAGGCAGCAGUAGGGAAUAUUGGACAAUGGGGGGAACCCUGAUCCAGCCAUGCCGCGUGAGGGAAGAAGGUCCUCUGGAUUGUAAACCUCUUUUGGCAGGAAACAAACCUGCGCUAUACGCGCAGCUGAGGGUACCUGCAGAAUAAGCACCGGCUAACUCCGUGCCAGCAGCCG
This 479-nucleotide ribosomal RNA is filed under the name uncultured bacterium. Its description in RNAcentral is "bacterial SSU rRNA". It matches the Rfam family "Bacterial small subunit ribosomal RNA", at positions 29 to 517 of the family's 1533-position model. The record is from RNAcentral.